Molecule: transfer RNA, 78 nt
Filed under: bacterium
Lineage: Bacteria
Description: tRNA-Val
Rfam family: tRNA
About the family: Transfer RNA (tRNA) molecules are approximately 80 nucleotides in length. Their secondary structure includes four short double-helical elements and three loops (D, anti-codon, and T loops).
Source: RNAcentral
GGGCACUUAGCUCAGCCUGGUAAGAGCGCUUCGUUGACAUCGAAGAGGUCGUGGGUUCAAAUCCCCCAGUGCCCACCA